Molecule: ribosomal RNA, 217 nt
Filed under: uncultured bacterium
Lineage: Bacteria
Description: partial 16S ribosomal RNA
Rfam family: Bacterial small subunit ribosomal RNA
Source: RNAcentral
UCUCAGUUCGGAUUGGAGUCUGCAACCCGACUCCAUGAAGCUGGAUUCGCUAGUAAUCGCGGAUCAGCAUGCCGCGGUGAAUACGUUCCCGGGCCUUGUACACACCGCCCGUCACACCAUGAGAGUCGGGAACACCCGAAGUCCGUAGUCUAACCCGCAAGGGAGGGCGCGGCCGAAGGUGGGUCCGGUAAUUGGGGUGAAGUCGUAACAAGGUAUC